CCUACGGGUGGCAGCAGUGGGGAAUAUUGCACAAUGGGGGAAACCCUGAUGCAGCGACGCCGCGUGAGUGAAGAAGUAUUUCGGUACGUAAAGCUCUAGCAGCAGGGAAGAAAAACCGGCCGUAGGGCCGCCAGACGGUACCUGACGAAGAAGCCCCGGCUAACGACGUGCCAGCAGCCGCGGUAAUACGUAGGGGGAAAGCGUUCUCCGGAUUGACUGGGGGUAAAGGGAGCGGAGACGGCAGCGCAAGUCGGGAGUGAAAUGCCGGGGCCCAACCCCGGAACGGCUUUGGAAACUGUGCAGCUGGAGUGCAGGAGCGGUAAGCGUACUUCCUCGUGUAGCGGUG
Molecule: ribosomal RNA, 346 nt
Filed under: uncultured bacterium
Lineage: Bacteria
Description: partial 16S ribosomal RNA
Rfam family: Bacterial small subunit ribosomal RNA
Source: RNAcentral